Molecule: unclassified non-coding RNA, 155 nt
Filed under: uncultured Ascomycota
Lineage: Eukaryota; Fungi; Ascomycota
Description: sequence contains ITS1
Source: RNAcentral
CCGAGCGAGGGCCCUCGGCCCGACCUCCAACCCUUUUGUUUGACCAACACCUGUUGCCUCGGGGGCGGUCCGGACGCCGACGCGUCGGGCACCCCCGACGGACCCAACCACAGACUCUGCGUCCCCUGCGUCGGAGUACUUUUGCGAAUCAAUCA